Molecule: ribosomal RNA, 475 nt
Filed under: uncultured organism
Description: partial 16S ribosomal RNA
Rfam family: Bacterial small subunit ribosomal RNA
Source: RNAcentral
GUACACUCCUACGGGAGGCAGCAGUGGGGAAUUUUGGACAAUGGGCGAAAGCCUGAUCCAGCCAUGCCGCGUGCAGGAUGAAGGCCUUCGGGUUGUAAACUGCUUUUGUACGGAACGAAACGGCCUUUUCUAAUAAAGAGGGCUAAUGACGGUACCGUAAGAAUAAGCACCGGCUAACUACGUGCCAGCAGCCGCGGUAAUACGUAGGGUGCAAGCGUUAAUCGGAAUUACUGGGCGUAAAGCGUGCGCAGGCGGUUAUGUAAGACAGUUGUGAAAUCCCCGGGCUCAACCUGGGAACUGCAUCUGUGACUGCAUAGCUAGAGUACGGUAGAGGGGGAUGGAAUUCCGCGUGUAGCAGUGAAAUGCGUAGAUAUGCGGAGGAACACCGAUGGCGAAGGCAAUCCCCUGGACCUGUACUGACGCUCAUGCACGAAAGCGUGGGGAGCAAACAGGAUUAGAUACCCUUGUAGUCCCA